ACCCGACGAAUAAGCAUCGGCUAACUCCGUUGCCAGCAGCCGCGGUAAUACGGAGGAUGCGAGCGUUAUCCGGGAUUUAUUGGGUUUAAAGGGUGCGUAGGUUGUCUGGUAAGUCAGCGGUGAAAACUUGUCGCUUAACGAUAAGCUUGCCGUUGAAACUGUUAGACUUGAGAUUGGACGAGGUAUGCGGAAUUCGUAGUGUAGCGGUGAAAUGCAUAGAUAUUACGAAGAACCCCGAUAGCGUAGGCAGCAUACCAGGUCAAUUCUGACACUGAAGCACGAAAGUGUGGGAAUCAAACAGGAUUAGAUACCCUGGUAGUCCACACAGUAAACGAUGAAUACUGACUGUUUGCGAUAUAAUGUAAGCGGUUAAGCGAAAGCGUUAAGUAUUCCACCUGGGGAGUACGCCGGCAACGGUGAAACUCAAAGGAAUUGACGGGGGCCCGCACAAGCGGAGGAACAUGUGGUUUAAUUCGAUGAUACGCGAGGAACCUUACCCGGGCUCGAACGGCUUUUGAAUGAUUGUGAAAGCAGUCAGUCAGCAAUGACAAGAGUCGAGGUGCUGCAUGGUUGUCGUCAGCUCGUGCCGUGAGGUGUCGGCUUAAGUGCCAUAACGAGCGCAACCCUUAUUUCCAGUUACCAGCGGUUAAAGCCGGGGACUCUGGAAAGACUGCCACCGUAAGGUGCGAGGAAGGUGGGGAUGACGUCAAAUCAGCACGGCCCUUACGUCCGGGGCGACACACGUGUUACAAUGGGUGGGACAGCAGGCAGCUACUCGGCGACGAGAUGCGAAUCUACGAAACCCACUCCCAGUUCGGAUUGGAGUCUGCAACCCGACUUCAUGAAGCUGGAUUCGCUAGUAAUCGCGCAUCAGCCAUGGCGCGGUGAAUACGUUCCCGGGCCUUGUACACACCGCCCGUCAAGCCAUGGGAGCUGGGGGUGCCUGAAGUACGUAACCGCAAGGGACGUCCUAAGGUAAAACCGGUGACUGGGGCU
Molecule: ribosomal RNA, 996 nt
Filed under: uncultured Bacteroidota bacterium
Lineage: Bacteria; Pseudomonadati; Bacteroidota
Description: bacterial SSU rRNA
Rfam family: Bacterial small subunit ribosomal RNA
Source: RNAcentral